RNAcentral lists this ribosomal RNA (500 nucleotides) under uncultured bacterium. RNAcentral's name for it is "partial 16S ribosomal RNA". It matches the Rfam family "Bacterial small subunit ribosomal RNA", at positions 28 to 523 of the family's 1533-position model. The record is from RNAcentral.
GAUGAACGCUGGCGGCAGGCCUAACACAUGCAAGUCGAGCGGCAGCGGGACCUUCGGGUUGCCGGCGAGCGGCGGACGGGUGAGUAAUGCCUAGGAAUCUGCCUGUUAGUGGGGGAUAACGCGGGGAAACUCGCGCUAAUACCGCAUACGUCCUACGGGAGAAAGCGGGGGCUCUUCGGACCUCGCGCUAACAGAUGAGCCUAGGUCGGAUUAGCUAGUUGGUGGGGUAAUGGCCCACCAAGGCGACGAUCCGUAACUGGUCUGAGAGGAUGAUCAGUCACACUGGAACUGAGACACGGUCCAGACUCCUACGGGAGGAAGCAGUGGGGAAUAUUGGACAACGAGCGAAAGCCUGAUCCAGCCAUGCCGCGUGUGUGAAGAAGGUCUUCGGAUUGUAAAGCACUUUAAGUCGGGAGGAAGGACUGUAGGCUAAUACCUUGCAGUUUUGACGUUACCGACAGAAUAAGCACCGGCUAACUUCGUGCCAGCCGCCGCGGUAA